UGCAUCAAUACACAUUUAAAUGUAAUGUAUAUUCAUUUGACGUUACUAGGAUCAGUAAAGCGUUUUUCCAAGUAUGGGGUUUUCAAAAUAACCGAGUUGAACGUUAACACUUAUGUCACCUUCGUUGGGUUAUAUGCGUCGUUGGUUAGUUUUUCGUGAAAUAUUUGGACAAAAUGGCCGCCUUGACACCUAGCGGCAAAAACUACAACUAUCAAGUUGGUAUUACUGUCGCUUGGAACAGAGAAACAAGACGGGGAAACAUUGCACUAGAAAAUUAUAGCGCCAUCUAGGAUCAAGCUAUAUUAUUCGUUCUUAUUCCCCUGCAAAAUGCGUAUGACGUCAUAAGCACAUCUGGUCUUAAAACUAAUACAGACCCGAACAAUGUUCAACAUCUUUUAUUACCACGUGUUUUACAGCGUUUUAUAAAGUCCAUUUGUUUUUAAACAAUAA
Molecule: long non-coding RNA, 450 nt
Organism: Zophobas morio
Lineage: Eukaryota; Metazoa; Arthropoda; Insecta; Coleoptera; Tenebrionidae
Exons: 2
Source: RefSeq, a predicted model, not a curated record